Molecule: non-coding RNA, 337 nt
Organism: Cinara cedri
Lineage: Eukaryota; Metazoa; Arthropoda; Insecta; Hemiptera; Aphididae
Source: the annotation of a GenBank genome assembly
UAUUCUAUACAGCCGCCGUAAAAAAAACUUAUUACCGUAAAACAAUAAGAAUGCGAAUGUAACGUUAAACAAAAAAAUUUGAUAUUCCACGGACUGGACGCUAUUGCAGGCGUGUAUUUAGCAAGAUACAAUAUACAGCUGGUAAUUUUUACCGUAAGUGACGGAGUUGAAAAAUACCGUAAAAAAUGUUUAUUUUUCUGUUUUUAAUUCUGCAAAGCUCAGUGAGAAAUGUAUAGGUUCUAUUGCUGCGAGUGCUUUUUUUUCCCGGCCAUUAACGGUUUUUUUGGAUCCGUUCGGUGCGCUGAGAAUGGGUCGUCUUUUAAGUGUACAUUUUGAU